CCUACGGGCGGCAGCAGUGGGGAAUAUUGCACAAUGGGGGAAACCCUGAUGCAGCGACGCCGCGUGAGUGAAGAAGUAUUUCGGUAUGUAAAGCUCUAUCAGCAGGGAAGAAAAUGACGGUACCUGAUCAAGAAGCCCCGGCUAACUACGUGCCAGCAGCCGCGGUAAGACGGAGGGGGCAAGCGUUAUCCGGAUUUACUGGGUGUAAAUGGAGCGUAGACGGCAGAACAAGUCUGGAGUGAAAUGCCGGGGCUUAACCCCGGAACUGCUUUGGAAACUGUGCAGCUAGAGUGCAGGAGAGGUAAGUGGAAUUCCUAGUGUAGCGGUGAAAUGCGUAGAUAUUAGGAGGAACACCAGUGGCGAAGGCGGCUUACUGGACUGUAACUGACGUUGAGGCUCGAAAGCGUGGGGAGCAAACAGGAUUAGAUACCCUUGUAGUC
This 440-nucleotide ribosomal RNA is filed under the name uncultured bacterium. RNAcentral describes it as "partial 16S ribosomal RNA". It matches the Rfam family "Bacterial small subunit ribosomal RNA", at positions 338 to 795 of the family's 1533-position model. The record is from RNAcentral.